This 551-nucleotide ribosomal RNA is filed under the name uncultured Glomeromycotina. Its description in RNAcentral is "SSU rRNA". It matches the Rfam family "Eukaryotic small subunit ribosomal RNA", at positions 548 to 1098 of the family's 1831-position model. The record is from RNAcentral. Lineage: Eukaryota; Fungi; Glomeromycota.
UUGGAGGGCAAGUCUGGUGCCAGCAGCCGCGGUAAUUCCAGCUCCAAUAGCGUAUAUUAAAGUUGUUGCAGUUAAAAAGCUCGUAGUUGAACUUCGGGGUCUACCCAUUGGUCAGGCUUAAUUGUCUGCACUGGUGAGAUGGAUCUCUACCUUCUGAGGAACUUUCAUGCCAUUUAUUUGGUGUGGUUGGAAAUCAGGACUGUUCCUUUGAAAAAAUUAGAGUGUUUAAAGCAGACUAUCGUCUGAAUACAUUAGCAUGGAAUAAUGAAAUAGGACGGACUGAUUCUAUUUCGUUGGUUUCUAGGAUCACCGUAAUGAUUAAUAGGGAUAGUUGGGGGCAUUAGUAUUCAAUUGUCAGAGGUGAAAUUCUUGGAUUUAUUGAAGACUAACUACUGCGAAAGCAUUUGCCAAGGAUGUUUUCAUUAAUCAAGAACGAAAGUUAGGGGAUCGAAGACGAUCAGAUACCGUCGUAGUCUUAACCAUAAACUAUGCCGACUAGGGAUCGGACGAAGUUAAUUUUAUAAUGACGCGUUCGGCGCCUUACGGGAAAC